CCUACGGUGCGCUGCAGUGGGGGAUAUUGCACAAUGGGGGAAACCCUGAUGCAGCGACGCCGCGUGUGGGAAGACGGUCCUCUGGAUUGUAAACCACUGUCCCCAGGGACGAAGAUGACGGUACCGGGGGAGGCAGCCCCGGCUAACUACGUGCCAGCAGCCGCGGUAAUACGGAGGGAGCGAGCGUUGUCCGGAAUUACUGGGUGUAAAGGGAGCGGAGGGGGGACUGCAAGUUGGGUGUCAAAUCUACCGGCUCAACCGGUAGCCGCACUCAAAACUGCAGUUCUUGAGUGAAGUAGAGGCAGGCGGAAUUCCUAGUGUAGCGGUGAAAUGCGUAGAUAUUAGGAGGAACACCCGUGGCGAGGGCGGCCUGCUGGGCUUUUACUGACGCUGAGGCUCGAACGUGUGGGGAGCAAACAGGAUUAGAUACCCUUGUAGUC
Molecule: ribosomal RNA, 440 nt
Filed under: uncultured bacterium
Lineage: Bacteria
Description: partial 16S ribosomal RNA
Rfam family: Bacterial small subunit ribosomal RNA
Source: RNAcentral